Molecule: ribosomal RNA, 403 nt
Filed under: Verrucomicrobiota bacterium
Lineage: Bacteria; Pseudomonadati; Verrucomicrobiota
Description: Verrucomicrobia bacterium partial 16S ribosomal RNA
Rfam family: Bacterial small subunit ribosomal RNA
Source: RNAcentral
UGGGGAAUAUUGCACAAUGGGGGAAACCCUGAUGCAGCGACGCCGCGUGAGCGAAGAAGGUUUUCGAAUCGUAAAGCUCUGUCCUAUGAGAAGAUAAUGACGGUAUCAUAGGAGGAAGCCCCGGCUAAAUACGUGCCAGCAGCCGCGGUAAUACGUAUGGGGCGAGCGUUGUCCGGAAUUAUUGGGCGUAAAGGGUACGUAGGCGGUCUAUUAAGUCAGGUGUGAAAGCGUGAGGCUUAACCUCAUUAAGCACUUGAAACUGAUAGACUUGAGUGCAGGAGAGAAAAGUGGAAUUCCUAGUGUAGCGGUGAAAUGCGUAGAGAUUAGGAGGAACACCGGUGGCGAAAGCGGCUUUUUGGCCUGCAACUGACACUGAGGCGCGAAAGCGUGGGGAGCAAACAGG